CCUACGGGCGGCAGCAGUGGGGAAUAUUGCACAAUGGGCGCAAGCCUGAUGCAGCCAUGCCGCGUGUGUGAAGAAGGCCUUCGGGUUGUAAAGCACUUUCAGCGGGGAGGAAGGCGUUAAGGUUAAUAACCUUGGCGAUUGACGUUACCCGCAGAAGAAGCACCGGCUAACUCCGUGCCAGCAGCCGCGGUAAUACGGAGGGUGCAAGCGUUAAUCGGAAUUACUGGGCGUAAAGCGCACGCAGGCGGUCUGUCAAGUCGGAUGUGAAAUCCCCGGGCUCAACCUGGGAACUGCAUUCGAAACUGGCAGGCUAGAGUCUUGUAGAGGGGGGUAGAAUUCCAGGUGUAGCGGUGAAAUGCGUAGAGAUCUGGAGGAGUACCGGUGGCGAAGGCGGCCCCCUGGACAAAGACUGAUGCUCAGGUGCGAAAGCGUGGGGAGCAAACAGGAUUAGAUACCCGAGUAGUC
RNAcentral lists this ribosomal RNA (465 nucleotides) under uncultured Klebsiella sp. RNAcentral's name for it is "bacterial SSU rRNA". It matches the Rfam family "Bacterial small subunit ribosomal RNA", at positions 338 to 795 of the family's 1533-position model. Lineage: Bacteria; Pseudomonadati; Pseudomonadota; Gammaproteobacteria; Enterobacterales; Enterobacteriaceae. The record is from RNAcentral.